AGGAAUGGCCAACCCAAUAGCCCAACUAACAUCUGAUUGCACAAAGACAAUAACAGUCACAGAUACCAUCACUGCAAACGUGUAGGUGAGGUAGUACCAAUUGAAGAAACUACUGAUGCCCUUCUUGCCAGAUUCAGUGUUGGGAUUGAAUUGGUCAGCACCAAAGGCUAGGUUGCAGGGUCUGAUGCCACCAGCUCCAAUGACUAAGAAUCCAAAAGCACUUAGCAGGAAAGCAAAUUGCCAAGCUGUUGGCCCCACACACUUGCUACUCUCUCCUGGUACACAAUUUGGCGGAUGCAGAUUGGAAAUUGCUGCUGUUAACAUUAACACCAACAUCCCCUG
RNAcentral lists this unclassified non-coding RNA (342 nucleotides) under Hevea brasiliensis (rubber tree). The record is from RNAcentral. Lineage: Eukaryota; Viridiplantae; Streptophyta; Magnoliopsida; Malpighiales; Euphorbiaceae.